This 874-nucleotide long non-coding RNA is filed under the name Elaeis guineensis (African oil palm). RNAcentral describes it as "long non-coding RNA (EGUI_LNC072727)". Lineage: Eukaryota; Viridiplantae; Streptophyta; Magnoliopsida; Arecales; Arecaceae. The record is from RNAcentral.
UCAAUUCUUGAAAUUAUUGAAUUAAGUCCUCUUGAUGAUCCCUUAGAAUUAAUAAAGCCUUUAUUAUUAUUUUUUUGUUAAUCAAGGUUGUACAUUGACUUGAUCAGACUUUGACCUUUAACUUACAAACAUGCUUAUUAAAUGCUUUAACUCAAUUAUCUGCUGUUACUACUGAUUUGUGCUGCCAAGCAUGGAUUUCUUGCCAACAACCUAGAAACUUGAUCUGUUAUAAUCACAUUUUUAUUUCAAGUAGAUGAGAAAAAUCUCUUUAUUCAAGCUUUCUGAACAAUAUCAUUAUAUGUCAACUGGGUUUGUUGUACACUAUAUGUUUGAGAAGUACUGAAUCUUAAAGAGCAUGCUGUUUAAGCUGAUUGAGCAAUUCUGGAAUGAAAAUCCUCCAGACUGACCUAUGUUUGGAUACAUAAUUGAUCAGUUAUCUUCUAUUCAAAACUAGAUUGCUAAUAAGAGGCGUUGGAAGGUAUGCUGUGAGAUGUUUGUGACGCACAAGUGUAUCUGAGAAUGGGUUCCCACGGAGGACAUACAUGUGAAUUUUGAUCAAGAUAUUUGUCUUUGAUGCAUUAAGAUGAUAUCCAUAAUGUUGUAUUAUUUUUCAUCUCUGAGCACAUUGUUUUCUAAAGGAAUGCUUAUUUUUUAAUCCUUCAAUUGUUUCUGAGCAAGCUAACCAUGUAAGAUGUCAGCUUUAGUAUGUUUUCAUUUCUCAGCCAAAAUUUUAAUUUUGUUUUGACUAUUAUGGGAAAGACAUGGAGGGAAGAUAAUAAAAUGCAUUUCUUUUCAAACUUCACAUGUACAACUUUUUUUGGGUGGUUAGGUAUUUGGGGAGGGAAUGGGUGGUUGAAUUGUAUCUUAUUUGGUG